ACUCAAAGGAAUUGACGGGGACCUGCACAACCAGUGGAGCAUGUGGUUUAAUUCGAAACGAACCGAAGUACCUUACCCAGGUUUGAAAUGCUACCGUUUAUUUUUCCAGAAAUGGAGAGAAAUCCGCAAGGAUGGUAGCACAGGUGUUGCAUGGCCGUCGUCAGCUCGUGCCGUGGGGUGUUCCCUUCAGUGGGGUAACGAGCGCAACCUCCACCAUAUGUUAAAUUUUCAUAUGGGACUAUCCUGAUUUUCAGGAAGGAAGCGGAGACGAUGUCAGGUCAGCAUGGCCCUUAUAUCUGGGGCUACACACAUGCUACAAUGAGUCCGACAAUGGGUUGCCAAGCCGUAAGGCGGAGCUAAUCCCAUCAAACGGACUCUCAGUGGGGAUUGAGGGCUGCAACUCGCCCUCAUGAACAUGGAAUUGGUAGUAAUCGCGGGUCAGCUAUACCGCGGUGAAUACGUUCUCAGGUCUUGUACACACCGCCCGU
This 488-nucleotide ribosomal RNA is filed under the name uncultured bacterium. RNAcentral describes it as "partial 16S ribosomal RNA". It matches the Rfam family "Bacterial small subunit ribosomal RNA", at positions 899 to 1397 of the family's 1533-position model. The record is from RNAcentral.